Talpa occidentalis (Iberian mole) is the source of this 2151-nucleotide long non-coding RNA. RefSeq lists it as uncharacterized. The transcript has 3 exons. The record is from RefSeq and is a predicted model, not a curated record. Lineage: Eukaryota; Metazoa; Chordata; Mammalia; Eulipotyphla; Talpidae.
CAGGCCUAGGUUAGACAGACAGCUCCAUUUCAGACAAAUGCCAGGAGGGACGAGGCCCCGACCACCAGAAACAUUGUCGCCGCGACAGUGGACUGGCAUUUCGGAAGAGCUUGGUAUUCUCACUUCUGUCCAAUGAUUCAGAUCUGGGAUGGUUCCACUCUCUAUUUGCUGAACAUGUUGCAGUUACCUGACUCCAGACAAAGCACUUCCACUGGUCAUGGAAAAAAGGUCUAAAUCCGUGUCUUCUCUGCUUACAAGUCUUGCCUGGGAGCAAUGGGAGAGAAUGUAUACAAUCAUGAAACAAAAUAUGGCAUUUUCUGAAUGCAGCUCACAUUACCCCAAAUAAACAAACAGGCUCUGUCAAACAACCUUCUUCAAAAUGAUACCACAAUCCUUUAUUGCUGCCCAGGCAGAACAAAUGCACUAUGUCAAAGCAUUUUUUGCAAAUAAGAGCCGAUUUUAAAAUUGAGGUUUGCUAUUUGAGUCUGUACAACAAAAGAAAACAUUUUGGUACAGUAAUUUUGAUGAAAAUCAAUCUUAAAGGCAACUGAUGAACUUUAAACAGCUUAACAUCACUUAUUUUACCAAGUAUAUUAUUUAAUUCUUAAUUGAAUGUUAUAAAUGUCACAAUGGAUUAUUUUUGCAAUAUUUAUAUUUUACCACUUAUAAGUAUUAGUCUUCUCAAUAAAAUCCCUGAAAUGCCUUUCAUCCCAUAUUUAUGUUUCACAAAUCACAAUAGAUCCUUACUUUCUCAUUACAACCAUCAUUCAAUAAAGAUAUUACACAUUCAGUCUCACUGGGGAGUAAUUUUUUCAUGUUUGAUGUGAGAAAAUUGAAAUACAGCAAAAUAAAGCCAUAAAAUAUUCACUGUGGUUUAAAAAAUUUUAUACAGAUGAUGAGCUAUAAAAACACAUGAAACCAGAAUCUAAAUCAUUUUCUUUCAUAUUCUGAUCUUGCUUCUUCUUCUUUACAUGCUCCUUUCCACUUUCUUCCCACCCACACACGCACUAGCUUAUCAUUAUUAAUUAAGUAAACAAGUUUGCUAUGCUGAAAUCAGAAUGGGAACUAUUCCAUAAUGUCAGUCACUUUUUGAUGUACCUGGUAAGUGAUAUAAUUUCACUGUCAAAAAACUUCAAUAGAAAACUAUUCAGAAUAAAUAACAGUUGACUUCUAACUAAUAGUAAAAAUGUUAUAUAUUCUUUCUGAAUUUUAUGUACAACUAGUACAUAGGGGUACGUAUCUAAUUGUUCGUUAUUAUAGAGCAGAUCCAUCAAUAUUAAGACUUAAAAGCCUCCCUGGUGGUGCAAGGGGUUAAGCACAGCACUAUAAAGCAAUCCACAACCUCAGCAGCAGGAGUUCGAUCUCCAGCUGGCCAGGGAGCAACCCACAUGGCGCAGCAGACCUCUCCUUUCUUGCCUGCUGCUCCCCUCAGCAGUGUAUUUCAGUUAGUCUCCUGUUCUGUUCCCCACUCUGUUUCUGGUGAAUCCUUUCACACCCCCACACCUCUGGCCUGUAUCCCAGUUCCUGUAUGCAUAAAUAAACAAAUCUUUAAAAAAAAAACUAAGACUUAAUAAAAAAACACAAUUGUUAAGAAGUUAAAUUAAGGUAGAAAUACCAAAGUAAUACCACAGUUUUGGUGAGAUCAAGUAGAAAACAAGGAAGACUAUAUUAACCACUAGGGGAACUUCCUGUUGACUAAUGAGGCUUUACUGAAAACUUCAAAUUUUUUAAAAUCAGGUUUUAUUUGUUUCAAUUUAAUGAUGUAAUUUCUCUAUAUCUAUUUACAAAAUAGAAAUCCCACUGUCCUGUAAGUAAGAUGACACCUAUAUGUCAAAAAAAAUGAUUAUGAACACAUACCAUCCUCAAAUUCUGUCAUGUAAGCCAUUAAUAGCCAAAAGAUUAUUCCUUGCAACAUGGAAAACAAUGUCAGCUACUAAUUAAGUCAGAUUAUAGCAAUCAAUUUAUAAGUGUAUUUAUCAAAAGCACAUGAUUUCACAUUGGUGAUACCUAGUAGCAUAAAAGCAAAGUUAGAAAUUUCAUAAAAUGACUAGUUAUAGUCUCAUUAGUGCACAUAUGUCAUAACGACAUAUACACUAAAUUCAGGUUUUUAUGUUGAAUAUCAUUCUUCCUCUUACUAUUAACAGAUAAAUC